Molecule: ribosomal RNA, 440 nt
Filed under: uncultured bacterium
Lineage: Bacteria
Description: partial 16S ribosomal RNA
Rfam family: Bacterial small subunit ribosomal RNA
Source: RNAcentral
CCUACGGGAGGCAGCAGUGGGGAAUAUUGCACAAUGGGGGAAACCCUGAUGCAGCGACGCCGCGUGAGUGAAGAAGUCUUUCGGUACGUAAAGCUCUAUCAGCAGGGAAGAAAAUGACGGUACCUGUCUAUGAAGCCACGGCUAACUACGUGCCAGAAGCCGUGGUACUACGGAGGGGGCAACCGUUAUCCGGAUUUACUGGGUGUAAAGGGAGCGUAGACGGCAGGGCAAGUCUGAAGUGAAAUUCCAUGGCUUAACCAUGAAACUGCAAUGGAAACUGGGCAGCUGGAGUACAGUAGAGGUAAGCGGAAUUCGUAGUGUAGCGGUGAAAUGCGUAGAUAUUAGGAGGAACACCAGUGGCGAAGGCAGCUUACUGGACUGUAACUGACGUUGAGGCUCGAAAGCGUGGGGAGCAAACAGGAUUAGAUACCCGGGUAGUC